UUGAUAACAAGCCUAUUAUAAGUAGUUUUUCCCUAUUUUGAAAAAACGGUUUAUUUGCAAACCUUUAAAAAUCGAUAGUUUAAAACGUAGCAAUAUUAAUCACCAACAUUCUCGUCUCAUUCCAAUCCAAAUUGUAAUUAUAAAAUCUACUCAUACCAAGAAAUAUGAAUCACCCAAUGACACAUCUCCAUUAACCGGGAGCACGGUGUAUUCGAAUACAAUAUAACUCUACAGCGUCUAUCCAGCUUCACCCACACAAUAUCACGACUGGAUUAGCACCGCCCAGUGGGAUAUUGUCCGUCCUAGCAGUCGGACACUCACUCAGCCACAAGUAAGGCAUAGUAAGGUCGCUGAUUUCAAGAGUGACACUGUUGUGAGAUCAUGUCAACUUGGCCCGCGGCCUCUUAUACAUGUCCACUCCUAUAUGCUCCUAGAGCAUCUAACAGUCGUUCA
RNAcentral lists this long non-coding RNA (453 nucleotides) under Oryza brachyantha (malo sina). RNAcentral's name for it is "long non-coding RNA (OBRA_LNC002808)". The record is from RNAcentral. Lineage: Eukaryota; Viridiplantae; Streptophyta; Magnoliopsida; Poales; Poaceae.